Molecule: ribosomal RNA, 374 nt
Filed under: uncultured organism
Description: bacterial SSU rRNA
Rfam family: Bacterial small subunit ribosomal RNA
Source: RNAcentral
CGUAGGGUGCGAGCGUUGUCCGGAAUUACUGGGCGUAAAGAGUUCGUAGGCGGUUUGUCGCGUCGUUUGUGAAAACCCGGGGCUCAACUUCGGGCUUGCAGGCGAUACGGGCAGACUUGAGUGUUUCAGGGGAGACUGGAAUUCCUGGUGUAGCGGUGAAAUGCGCAGAUAUCAGGAGGAACACCGGUGGCGAAGGCGGGUCUCUGGGAAACAACUGACGCUGAGGAACGAAAGCGUGGGUAGCAAACAGGAUUAGAUACCCUGGUAGUCCACGCCGUAAACGGUGGGCGCUAGGUGUGGGUUCCUUCCACGGGAUCUGUGCCGUAGCUAACGCAUUAAGCCGCCCCGCCGUGGGGAGUACGGCCGCAAGGACU